RNAcentral lists this ribosomal RNA (433 nucleotides) under uncultured bacterium. RNAcentral describes it as "partial 16S ribosomal RNA". It matches the Rfam family "Bacterial small subunit ribosomal RNA", at positions 29 to 507 of the family's 1533-position model. The record is from RNAcentral.
AACGAACGCUGGCGGCAUGCCUAACACAUGCAAGUCGAACGAGACCUUCGGGUCUAGUGGCGCACGGGUGCGUAACGCGUGGGAACCUGCCCUUAGGUUCGGAAUAACUCCCCGAAAGGGGUGCUAAUACCGGAUAAUGUCUUCGGACCAAAGAUUUAUCGCCUUUUGAUGGGCCCGCGUUGGAUUAGCUAGUUGGUAGGUUAAAAGCCUACCAAGGCGACGAUCCAUAGCUGGUCUGAGAGGAUGAUCAGCCACACUGGGACUGAGACACGGACCAGAAUCCUACGGGAGGCAGCAGUGGGGAAUAUUGGAAAAUGGGCGAAAGCCUGAUCAAGCAAUGCCGCGUGAGUGAUGAAGGCCUUAGGGUUGUAAAGCUCUUUUAACCGGGAUGAUAAUGACAGUACCGGGAGAAUAAGCGCCGGCUAACUCCGUG